CUGACGCUAAAGCUCGAAGGUGCGGGUAUCGAACAGGAUUAGAUAACCCUGGUAGUCCGCACGGUAAACGAUGGAUGCCCGCUGUUUGCGAUAUACUGUGAGCGGCCAAGAGAAAUCGUUAAGCAUCCCACCUGGGGAGUACGCCGGCAACGGUGAAACUCAAAGGAAUUGACGGGGGCCCGCACAAGCGGAGGAACAUGUGGUUUAAUUCGAUGAUACGCGAGGAACCUUACCCGGGCUUGAACUGCAGCGGAAGGAUACAGAGAUGUUGACGCCCUUCGGGGCCGCUGUGGAGGUGCUGCAUGGUUGUCGUCAGCUCGUGCCGUGAGGUGUCGGCUUAAGUGCCAUAACGAGCGCAACCCUUUUCGUCAGUUGCCAUCAGGUGAUGCUGGGCACUCUGGCGACACUGCCACCGUAAGGUGUGAGGAAGGUGGGGAUGACGUCAAAUCAGCACGGCCCUUACGUCCGGGGCUACACACGUGUUACAAUGGGGCAUACAGAAGGCCGGUCGCCCGCAAGAGCGAUCCAAUCUUAAAAGUGUCCCUCAGUUCGGAUUGGGGUCUGCAACCCGACCCCAUGAAGCUGGAUUCGCUAGUAAUC
This 600-nucleotide ribosomal RNA is filed under the name uncultured bacterium. Its description in RNAcentral is "bacterial SSU rRNA". It matches the Rfam family "Bacterial small subunit ribosomal RNA", at positions 740 to 1343 of the family's 1533-position model. The record is from RNAcentral.